This 252-nucleotide ribosomal RNA is filed under the name uncultured bacterium. Its description in RNAcentral is "partial 16S ribosomal RNA". It matches the Rfam family "Bacterial small subunit ribosomal RNA", at positions 524 to 776 of the family's 1533-position model. The record is from RNAcentral.
UACGUAGGUGGCAAGCGUUGUCCGGAAUUAUUGGGCGUAAAGCGCGCGCAGGCGGCUUCUUAAGUCUGAUGUGAAAUCUCGGGGCUCAACCCCGAGCGGCCAUUGGAAACUGGGAGCUUGAGUACAGAAGAGGAGAGUGGAACUCCACGUGUAGCGGUGAAAUGCGUAGAUAUGUGGAGGAACACCAGUGGCGAAGGCGACUCUCUGGUCUGUAACUGACGCUGAGGCGCGAAAGCGUGGGGAGCAAACAGG